This 716-nucleotide ribosomal RNA is filed under the name uncultured bacterium. RNAcentral describes it as "bacterial SSU rRNA". It matches the Rfam family "Bacterial small subunit ribosomal RNA", at positions 777 to 1500 of the family's 1533-position model. The record is from RNAcentral.
AUUAGAUACCCUGGUAGUCCACGCAGUAAACGAUGAAUACUAACUGUCCGGGACGAUUGAGUCCUGGGUGGUACAGCGAAAGCGUUAAGUAUUCCACCUGGGGAGUACGCCGGCAACGGUGAAACUCAAAGGAAUUGACGGGGGCCCGCACAAGCGGAGGAACAUGUGGUUUAAUUCGAUGAUACGCGAGGAACCUUACCCGGGCUCAAACGACGGACGAAUGUUUUUGAAAGGAGGCAGUCCUUCGGGGCGUCCGUCGAGGUGCUGCAUGGUUGUCGUCAGCUCGUGCCGUGAGGUGUCGGCUUAAGUGCCAUAACGAGCGCAACCCCCAUCGCCAGUUACCAUCAAGUGAAGUUGGGGACUCUGGCGAGACUGCCGGCGCAAGCUGCGAGGAAGGCGGGGAUGACGUCAAAUCAGCACGGCCCUUACGUCCGGGGCGACACACGUGUUACAAUGGCAGGCACAGAGAGAAGCGACAUGGCGACAUGAAGCGGAACUGUCAAAACCUGUCUCAGUUCGGAUUGGAGUCUGCAACCCGACUCCAUGAAGCUGGAUUCGCUAGUAAUCGCGCAUCAGCCACGGCGCGGUGAAUACGUUCCCGGGCCUUGUACACACCGCCCGUCAAGCCAUGGAAGCCGGGAGUGCCUGAAGUGUGCAACCGCAAGGAGCGCCCUAAGGUAAAACCGGUGACUGGGGCUAAGUCGUAACAAGGUAAC